AUAUAUAUAUAUAUAUAUAUAUGUUUGUUUAAAAUGAAGCUGUCAUAUUUUGUGCACAAAUCAAUAGCUUAAAUUAUAAUUUGUGAGUUUUUAGUGAAGGGUGAGUAGAAGGAAUAUCAUAAUAUCCUUCACAAAAUAAUAAUAAUAUCAAUAAAUAAUAAAUUGGUAAUUAUAUCAUUUUAUAGUUUUUAAUAUUCAAACUUAUAUCACAUUAAAUUUAGUAUUUUUUUUUCCAUACUGUAUAAAACUAAAGUAUCAUAAUAAGCAAGAAUUCAAAACUUCUUAAUGUAGAAAGAUUCAAAGAUUUAAAGACAUCAAAUGUAAUGUUGUUAAGUCAUUUUUGAUUAAAUGCAUUUUUGAAAGUAGGAAAUGUAUUAUAUAUAUAUAUAUAUAUAUAUAUAUAUAUAAUACACAUAUACAUGUUAACAUUUUAAAAUAUACAAACAAACACACACAAUCACACACAUGUA
Molecule: long non-coding RNA, 470 nt
Filed under: Physcomitrium patens
Lineage: Eukaryota; Viridiplantae; Streptophyta; Bryopsida; Funariales; Funariaceae
Description: long non-coding RNA (PPAT_LNC009221)
Source: RNAcentral